CUAUGGAGCAAAUUCACUGGAGCGCCAUCUCACCGGCACUCACUUAAGGUGAAUAGGUCGAAGUCCUCCUCCCGGAUUAACCGGGAAAGGACUGGUGAAUCAGAAAUGAUCGCCCCUUAAAUAUUAUUGGUGCGUUCGCCGAUCGUGCAGCACACCAUUUUGCCUUUACCUUUUCGAUGACCGAAAGAGAACGCGUGUUCGAUCUCCGGGGGCAUAGCUCAGUUGGUAGAGCGCCUGCUUUGCAAGCAGGAUGCCAGGAGUUCGAAUCUCCUUGCCUCCACUCUCUCAGAGUGUGGAGGCUGGUGCGCGACGGUGGAUGAUUUCGGGUCUGUAGCUCAGUUGGUUAGAGCACACGCUUGAUAGGCGUGGGGUCACAGGUUCAAAUCCUGUCAGACCCACUGCCACUGAGCCCGGUCCCUUCUGAAGCCGUUUCUGGAUCUUUGACAACUGUAUAAAAGAAAACAAUGACUACAAUUUGACUGAACUAAGUUCAGUUUUGGUAGAGAAGACAGUGGGGGGAAUUAAGCAAAACCCUCCGAAAGCUUUCAUAAACGAUAGCUG
This 561-nucleotide transfer RNA is filed under the name uncultured Verrucomicrobiales bacterium. RNAcentral's name for it is "16S-23S ribosomal RNA intergenic spacer". The stretch from base 208 to 280 matches the Rfam family "tRNA". Lineage: Bacteria; Pseudomonadati; Verrucomicrobiota; Verrucomicrobiia; Verrucomicrobiales. The record is from RNAcentral.